RNAcentral lists this ribosomal RNA (670 nucleotides) under uncultured bacterium. RNAcentral's name for it is "bacterial SSU rRNA". It matches the Rfam family "Bacterial small subunit ribosomal RNA", at positions 55 to 714 of the family's 1533-position model. The record is from RNAcentral.
AUGCAAGUCGAGGGGCAGCGGGAUUGAAGCUUGCUUCAAUUGCCGGCGACCGGCGCACGGGUGAGUAACGCGUAUCCAACCUUCCGUACACUCAGGGAUAGCCUUUCGAAAGAAAGAUUAAUACCUGAUGGUAUGAUGAAAUUGCAUGAUAGCAUCAUUAAAGAUUUAUCGGUGUACGAUGGGGAUGCGUUCCAUUAGGUAGUAGGCGGGGUAACGGCCCACCUAGCCUACGAUGGAUAGGGGUUCUGAGAGGAAGGUCCCCCACAUUGGAACUGAGACACGGUCCAAACUCCUACGGGAGGCAGCAGUGAGGAAUAUUGGUCAAUGGACGAGAGUCUGAACCAGCCAAGUAGCGUGAAGGAUGAAGGUCCUACGGAUUGUAAACUUCUUUUAUAAGGGAAUAAAACCUCCCACGUGUGGGAGCUUGUAUGUACCUUAUGAAUAAGCAUCGGCUAACUCCGUGCCAGCAGCCGCGGUAAUACGGAGGAUGCGAGCGUUAUCCGGAUUUAUUGGGUUUAAAGGGAGCGCAGACGGGUCGUUAAGUCAGCUGUGAAAGUUUGGGGCUCAACCUUAAAAUUGCAGUUGAUACUGGCGUCCUUGAGUGCGGUUGAGGUGUGCGGAAUUCGUGGUGUAGCGGUGAAAUGCUUAGAUAUCACGAAGAACUCCGAUU